AGUUCCGAGGAGCGUUGCAACUUCAUCAUUGAUGAAGCCAGGCUCGGACCUUCGUGAGAGUUUGCAACGGCGCUCGCUCACU
This 82-nucleotide non-coding RNA is filed under the name Candidatus Muproteobacteria. Its description in RNAcentral is "SAH sequence". It matches the Rfam family "SAH (S-adenosyl-L-homocysteine) riboswitch aptamer". The record is from RNAcentral. Lineage: Bacteria; Pseudomonadati; Pseudomonadota.